Molecule: ribosomal RNA, 505 nt
Filed under: uncultured bacterium
Lineage: Bacteria
Description: bacterial SSU rRNA
Rfam family: Bacterial small subunit ribosomal RNA
Source: RNAcentral
AGAGUUUGAUCAUGGCUCAGAUUGAACGCUGGCGGAAUGCUUUACACAUGCAAGUCGAACGGCAGCACGGGUGCUUGCACCUGGUGGCGAGUGGCGAACGGGUGAGUAAUGCACCGAACGUAUCCAAUAAUGGGGGAUAACGCACCGAAAGGUGUGCUAAUACCGCAUACGCCCUGAGGGGGAAAGCGGGGGAUCGUAAGACCUCGCGUUAAUGGAGCGGCCGAUGCCGGAUUAGCUAGUUGGUGAGGUAAAGGCUCACCAAGGCGACGAUCCGUAGCUGGUCUGAGAGGACGACCAGCCACACUGGAACUGAGACACGGUCCAGACUCCUACGGGAGGCAGCAGUGGGGAAUUUUGGACAAUGGGCGCAAGCCUGAUCCAGCCAUUCCGCGUGAGUGAAGAAGGCCUUCGGGUUGUAAAGCUCUUUCGCAAGGAAAGAAAACUUAUCUCCUAAUACGAGGUGAGGUUGACGGUACCUUGAUAAGAAGCACCGGCUAACUACGUG